CUUUUUUGCAUCACAAACAAAUGAAAUCCAUUUGUUUAUAUUGUGUAAACCUUUAGGAAAGUAGGAAAUGGGUUAACAUCAAUGGGACAGAUACCUUACAGCAAACCAACCAAUGAGAUAACAUGCAGAGGACGAUUUCACAGCAGUUUUUGUAUAAAAAUUGUAGCCAGUAGGUACAUAUACUAAAAAGAGGACAGUUAGUGAACAUGGUGAAGUUUUGGUGUUUCUCUCAACUGACACAUGUUUUGUUUCUUUCGUAAUUGUCUUGAGUGGCAAUUCAAUCAUCUCUUCUAUUUACCACUUUGACAACAAAUGAUGCUGACCUGUCUUCUAUAGAUAAGACAACAAAUUAUUUAUUUUACGAAUUUCCAUCCAAGAUAGCCAGGGCAAUCUAAUAUACACGAUGUCUGAAAUUCUCGCUUCCGAAUCUUUUUUAAAAUACGUGUUCUUCUCCAUCUGCGUUUUAGGUUUUCUACUCGACUCAUAACUCAUUUUGUCUUGCUUGACCGGUGUCUUUUAUAAUAUUUAUCAAUCUGACUGUCGAUACAAAAACCAAAGAAAUGAUACUUCCGGUGAAUAAUGGAUAAAACCUAAUCGACGAUCCCGGGUCAAUGGACAAAAUCAAUGCAAUGUUACGCGACUCGGGUUCGCAUACCUAUUUUUUAUCAAUUUCGUUAUCGAUCUAUUUCGGUCGGAGCGUCUUUUUACCACAGAACACCACAGAAUACCACAGAACACCACAGAAUACCACAGAACACUAAAAAUAUACCACAGAACACUAAAAAUAUACCACAGAACACAAAAACAAACAACAAAACAACUAAAAUAUGCAACAUAACAUUAAAAUAACUUAAAAAAAUGCAUGAACUAAUAUUAAUUAGACGGUAAAUCUAAAUUUCAUCACCGAUUGCAAACCACAUAUCGCUAAACAGCGCAUUUUUUUGUUUUUAUUUUUUUUUGUUUAAUCGUAUUAAUUGUGACCUUAAUAUAUAUUAUUUCAGUUAUUAUGCAACAAAUCAUAUUAAAUUAAAGUUUAAAAUAUCAAAUAUAUCUACAUUGAACACGC
Molecule: long non-coding RNA, 1066 nt
Filed under: Mytilus galloprovincialis (Mediterranean mussel)
Lineage: Eukaryota; Metazoa; Mollusca; Bivalvia; Mytilida; Mytilidae
Source: RNAcentral